GACGAACGCUGGCGGCGCGCCUAACACAUGCAAGUCGAGCGAUGAAAGUUGUUCAGAUCCUUCGGGUGACGAACUUCCGGCUUAGCGGCGAACGGGUGAGUAACGCGUGAGGAACCUGCCUCUCACAACGGGAUAGCCUCGGGAAACCGGGAUUAAUACCGUAUGACACUAUCAGAUGGCAUCAUCAGGUAGUUAAAGUGCUAGCGGUGAGAGAUGGCCUCGCGUCUGAUUAGUUAGUUGGUGGGGUAACGGCCUACCAAGACGACGAUCAGUAACCGGCCUGAGAGGGUGAACGGUCACAUUGGAACUGAGACACGGUCCAAACUCCUACGGGAGGCAGCAGUGGGGAAUCUUGCACAAUGGGGGAAACCCUGAUGCAGCGACGCCGCGUGAGCGAUGAAGGUUUUCGAAUCGUAAAGCUCUGUCCUAUGGGAAGAUAAUGACGGUACCAUAGGAGGAAGCCCCGGCUAACUACGUG
RNAcentral lists this ribosomal RNA (478 nucleotides) under uncultured bacterium. Its description in RNAcentral is "partial 16S ribosomal RNA". It matches the Rfam family "Bacterial small subunit ribosomal RNA", at positions 28 to 507 of the family's 1533-position model. The record is from RNAcentral.